This 437-nucleotide long non-coding RNA is filed under the name Rattus norvegicus (Norway rat). RNAcentral's name for it is "long non-coding RNA NONRATT020773". The record is from RNAcentral. Lineage: Eukaryota; Metazoa; Chordata; Mammalia; Rodentia; Muridae.
GCGGCCGCCGCCCGCCUGCGCUCAGAGACUCACGCAGCCCUAGUCCCGCCGCGUUGGGCCUAACUCGAGUCUCGCUGCCUCCCGGGAGUGCCGUGCGCCGCAGCCCGGGCCCAGGCCCCGGCAGCGCCUGGGUCAAGGAUUCCUCAUGUCCGUAACAUGUUGGCUGAGGCUCUGCAGUUCACCCCCACUCUUUGAGUGGUCAGUCUCCAUUAAUUGGACCCCGUGAUUCCUACCCUCUGCUGUCUUGGACGUCAUGAGCAUUGCAAUCCCUCUGGGAGUCACCACACCAGAUACAUCGUACUCAGAUAUGGCUGCUGGAUCAGAGUAAGUGCUAUUUCCUAGAUAAUAGGAUUGCUGCAAGCUUGUGUGAGGAUGGAUUUCUUCCGGGCAGGUCAUAAACUAUAUGUAAUAUUUUCUUAAAACCUAUCCCACUUCAG